This 244-nucleotide ribosomal RNA is filed under the name uncultured bacterium. RNAcentral describes it as "partial 16S ribosomal RNA". It matches the Rfam family "Bacterial small subunit ribosomal RNA", at positions 90 to 334 of the family's 1533-position model. The record is from RNAcentral.
ACUUAGCGGCGGACGGGUGAGUAACGCGUGGGUAACCUGCCUUACACUGGGGGAUAACAGUUAGAAAUGACUGCCAAUACCGCAUAAGCGCACAGGGCCGCAUGGUCUGGUGUGAAAAACUCCGGUGGUGUAAGAUGGACCCGCGUCUGAUUAGGUAGUUGGUGGGGUAACGGCCCACCAAGCCGACGAUCAGUAGCCGACCUGAGAGGGUGACCGGCCACAUUGGGACUGAGACACGGCCCAA